RNAcentral lists this ribosomal RNA (213 nucleotides) under Mycobacterium simiae. Its description in RNAcentral is "partial 23S rRNA". It matches the Rfam family "Bacterial large subunit ribosomal RNA", at positions 559 to 772 of the family's 2925-position model. RNAcentral also lists the same sequence under 1 other name. Lineage: Bacteria; Bacillati; Actinomycetota; Actinomycetes; Mycobacteriales; Mycobacteriaceae. The record is from RNAcentral.
UGUGCCUACAAUCCGUCAGAGCCUCCUUGUGGGGUGAUGGCGUGCCUUUUGAAGAAUGAGCCUGCGAGUCAGGGACAUGUCGCAAGGUUAACCCGUGUGGGGUAGCCGCAGCGAAAGCGAGUCUGAAUAGGGCGCUUGAGUGGCAUGUUCUGGACCCGAAGCGGAGUGAUCUACCCAUGGCCAGGGUGAAGCGCGGGUAAGACCGCGUGGAGG